This is a long non-coding RNA of Microplitis mediator, 475 nucleotides long. RefSeq lists it as uncharacterized. The transcript is spliced from 4 exons. NCBI's taxonomy places the organism in Eukaryota, Metazoa, Arthropoda, Insecta, Hymenoptera, Braconidae. The record is from RefSeq and is a predicted model, not a curated record.
UAAACAAGUUCUUAGCAUGUUUGCUGCAAUAUUCUCUAUGAUAUAGAGUGACCAUGAUAUUUGACAAGGUUGCUGCUUACGUAGACAAGUUUUCAGGUAACAAAAAGUCGAUUUUCCAAUGGUUGGUACGCAGAAGCUCAUAGAAAUUCAACGAAACAUUACUGAACACAUUAAGAAAAAUCGAAAAUGCCGAAAUAUAUUUUAUUGUUAGGUAUCCUCAUAUUUCUGGGCCUUUAUGCCUAUGCAGAUGAAGAAGGAUGUAGAGACAAAUGGUGUCAUCCGGUCAUGUACCACAAAUGCUGUGAUGGCUACGGAUGUAACAAUGGACAUUGGUACCAAGGACACUGCUUACCAUACAGGGAAAUCAAAAAGUAGAAAAUCCUGAAAAGUAGAAAAAAAAUUGCAUCAAUUGCAUGAAUAAAUAAAUGUUAUUGCACAAUAAUAACAAUGAAAUAAAUUAACCCAUGAAAAAAUC